RNAcentral lists this transfer RNA (77 nucleotides) under Acidobacteriota bacterium. RNAcentral describes it as "Acidobacteria bacterium tRNA-Pro". It matches the Rfam family "tRNA". Rfam says of the family: Transfer RNA (tRNA) molecules are approximately 80 nucleotides in length. Their secondary structure includes four short double-helical elements and three loops (D, anti-codon, and T loops). The record is from RNAcentral. RNAcentral also lists the same sequence under 1 other name. Lineage: Bacteria; Pseudomonadati; Acidobacteriota.
CGGGGCGUGGCUCAGCCUGGUAGAGCGCUCGGUUCGGGACCGAGAGGUCGAAAGUUCAAAUCUUUCCGCCCCGACCA